UACGUAGGUGGCAAGCGUUGUCCGGAUUUACUGGGCGUAAAGAGCGCGCAGGCGGUCGUUCAAGUCGAGUGUGAAAGCCCCCGGCUCAACUGGGGAGGGUCACUCGAUACUGAUCGACUCGAAGGCAGAAGAGGGAAGCGGAAUUCCCGGUGUAGAGGUGAAAUUCGUAGAUAUCGGGAGGAACACCAGUGGCGAAGGCGGCGAUCUGGGAAGAUACUGACGCUGAGGUGCGAAAGCGUGGGGAGCAAACAGG
RNAcentral lists this ribosomal RNA (253 nucleotides) under uncultured bacterium. RNAcentral describes it as "partial 16S ribosomal RNA". It matches the Rfam family "Bacterial small subunit ribosomal RNA", at positions 524 to 776 of the family's 1533-position model. The record is from RNAcentral.